This 542-nucleotide long non-coding RNA is filed under the name Homo sapiens (human). Its description in RNAcentral is "HSALNT0326095". Lineage: Eukaryota; Metazoa; Chordata; Mammalia; Primates; Hominidae. The record is from RNAcentral.
ACCUGCACGGUGGUUUUAUGGGCCGAAUGCUCACUAAACUGACUUAUUCUUCCCGGUAACCUGCAUACAGACCUCCCAGGCCCUGGCGUGAAGGUGGCACUGUGACUAGCUCUUGCCGAUGGAAUGGGAGGAGUCAGUUAGAAAUUUUCAUAUGGUCAAAAUACCCAUGGAAUAUAUGAGUGGCAGCAGUAAACAAUCCUUGAAGUUCUUGCUUGUUUAACUUGACUGUUGGUGAUGCCCAAUGAGGCCCUGUCUGCUCCAAGCAAAUUACAUAAAAAAGAUGUGAAUAAAAACUCAUCAAAUACUAACAGAGACUGUGUCUAAGAUGCCAAUUGAAGACUGGAACAGCCAUAUGAGUGUGGGGUAUUCCUGGAAACCUGUUCUAGUAGGCACUGGAGAAGACACAGGAACCUCUCAAUACAGAAUAGACACACUUUGCACUCAGUAAUAAUGCACUAAUUGACGAAUAUAUUGACGGAGUGUUGGUUUGCUUCACAAUCUGCUGGUAAACAUAUUCAUUUUUGGGUGAAUUUCAGGCCUUA